GAAAUUCUAGGCAUUAGGAGAUGGAUUUAGAGAAAUAUGCAUAUAUGCAUUUAUCUUUGUAUAGGUGUGUGUAUAUACCAUCUAAAAUAUUAUUCAGAGUAACUCCUAGACUGUAAUUAACAAUGACCCUAAAAAUAAAUCAGGUUUUGUUCUUUUUUAUGUUUUCUGUGAUGUUAAGAGGAAGAUUAAAAGGUUCUCUGCGUCACAACCAACAAUAAAAAAUUAAAAAAAGAAAAAAGAAAAAAAAAAAAGGUUCUCUGCGUGAACUUUAGCCUAAUUAUUUUCUUUGUAUAUUGCAGGGUUGGCAAACCAUGGGCCACAUUCAGUCCAUUAUCUGUUUUGGUAUGGCCUGCAAGUUAAGACUGGUUUUUACAUUUUUCAAUGAAAAACAAAAUCAAAACACACCAGACACUAGUAUGGCAAUAUGUAAAUCAAUGGAUGUGUAACUGAUGUGAUUCUGCAAUCUGUAUAUGGGGUAAAAAUGGGAGCUCAUAACCCACUUGAAUCAAAGUGUGAAAUAUGAUAUAUCAAGAACUAUGUAAUGUUUUGAACAGCCAACAAUAAAAAAUUAAAAAAAAAAAAAAAAAAGAAUACUGGAGCUGGGGGUGUGGUUCAGUGGUGGAGGGCCUGCCUGGUAUAUGCGAGGCACUGGGUUUGAUCCUCAGCACCACAUAAAAAUAAAUAAAUAAAUAAAAUAAAGGUAUUCUGUCCAUCUACAACUAAAAUUUGUGUCAUGUGAAAAUUACAGGAAAUUCAGGUUUCUGUGUGAAACACACACAGUUUUAUUGGAACCUAGCCAUGCUCAUUUGUUUAUAUAUUGACUGUGGCUGUUUGGGGGUACAACAGCAGACUUGAGUAGUUGCCAUAGAGACCAUAUGGCCUGCAAAGCCUAAAUAUUUACUAUUUGGCUCUUUACAGAAAAAGUUUGCUGGUUCUUGGUCUAUUACACAGUCUGUGCUCAUUAAGUACUUAUUGAAUAUUAUGAGCUGUGCUACACCUUGCCCUUUGAAGGCUUUUGCAGGGAAUAAUUGCAUUUAUUUAUUAAGAGAAAAUUGGUCACCUUGCCUUAGUAUAGAUUUAUCUGACAGACCCCUAUUGAGCCCCGUGAUGAUACAAUACUCUUAUUAUGUCUACCUCUGAAGAAUUCAGUUUCUGACAAAGUGUGUUAUUAGAUUCUAUUCCUUUUUCAAAGAAGUAUCCCAUGUAAGAGGUUUGGAGCACAGCAUGUAAGAACAUUUUUCUUUAGUCAAAUUUCAGUCUAUCACGUAUUUUGCACAAAAAACGUUGUUGUUAUACUUUUAUAUACCUGGAUUUUGUAUAUUAGCUUGUUAAACAGAUACUAUGUGUAAAGUAUGAGUUGUUGGAGUACUUAUGUUGGAAAAAUUGGGGGAUUUUUAUGGAGUAUAUUAACAUAUUCACUCACUUGAUAUUUAUUGACCACCUAUUAGGUACAAAUUUUGUUGUAUUUGACUUGAGGGUGAAAAUUUUCUUCCAUAAAUAAAAGCUAAAAUUGAAUUCAGAA
This 1522-nucleotide long non-coding RNA is filed under the name Marmota monax (woodchuck). Lineage: Eukaryota; Metazoa; Chordata; Mammalia; Rodentia; Sciuridae. The record is from RNAcentral.